RNAcentral lists this ribosomal RNA (833 nucleotides) under uncultured bacterium. Its description in RNAcentral is "bacterial SSU rRNA". It matches the Rfam family "Bacterial small subunit ribosomal RNA", at positions 51 to 878 of the family's 1533-position model. The record is from RNAcentral.
ACACAUGCAGUCGAGCGGAUGAGAAGAGCUUGCUCUUCGAUUCAGCGGCGGACGGGUGAGUAAUGCCUAGGAAUCUGCCUGGUAGUGGGGGACAACGUUUCGAAAGGAACGCUAAUACCGCAUACGUCCUACGGGAGAAAGCAGGGGACCUUCGGGCCUUGCGCUAUCAGAUGAGCCUAGGUCGGAUUAGCUAGUUGGUGGGGUAAUGGCUCACCAAGGCGACGAUCCGUAACUGGUCUGAGAGGAUGAUCAGUCACACUGGAACUGAGACACGGUCCAGACUCCUACGGGAGGCAGCAGUGGGGAAUAUUGGACAAUGGGCGAAAGCCUGAUCCAGCCAUGCCGCGUGUGUGAAGAAGGUCUUCGGAUUGUAAAGCACUUUAAGUUGGGAGGAAGGGCAGUAAGCGAAUACCUUGCUGUUUUGACGUUACCGACAGAAUAAGCACCGGCUAACUCUGUGCCAGCAGCCGCGGUAAUACAGAGGGUGCAAGCGUUAAUCGGAAUUACUGGGCGUAAAGCGCGCGUAGGUGGUUUGUUAGGUUGGAUGUGAAAGCCCCGGGCUCAACCCGGGAACUGCAUCCAAAACUGGCAAGCUAGAGUACAGUAGAGGGUGGUGGAAUUCCCUGUGUAGCGGUGAAAUGCGUAGAUAUAGGAAGGAACACCAGUGGCGAAGGCGACCACCUGGACUGAUACUGACACUGAGUGCGAAAGCGUGGGGAGCAAACAGGAUUAGAUACCCUUGGUAGUCCACGCCGUAAACGAUGUCAACUAGCCGUUGGAUCCCUUGAGAUCUUAGUGGCGCAGCUUAAACGCAUUAAGUUGACCGCUGGGGG